RNAcentral lists this small nucleolar RNA (118 nucleotides) under Hordeum vulgare. Its description in RNAcentral is "Small nucleolar RNA snoR104". It matches the Rfam family "Small nucleolar RNA snoR104". RNAcentral also lists the same sequence under 1 other name. The record is from RNAcentral. Lineage: Eukaryota; Viridiplantae; Streptophyta; Magnoliopsida; Poales; Poaceae.
UGGUAGCAUCAAAAGGAUAAGAUGCCUGCCCGAUACAGUCUUCCUAGAGUAAAACUGUCAUUUCCUGCUUUUGGUAUUGUUUUCAAGUUCUACAAGUCUCAAAAGAUAAGACAACUUC